Molecule: ribosomal RNA, 119 nt
Filed under: uncultured Bacillus sp.
Lineage: Bacteria; Bacillati; Bacillota; Bacilli; Caryophanales; Bacillaceae
Description: partial 16S ribosomal RNA
Rfam family: Bacterial small subunit ribosomal RNA
Source: RNAcentral
CCUACGGGAGGCAGCAGUAGGGAAUCUUCCACAAUGGACGAAAGUCUGAUGGAGCAACGCCGCGUGAGUGAUGAAGGUUUUCGGAUCGUAAAACUCUGUUGUAAGGGAAGAACAAACGU